CAAAGAGGGCGGGUGCUAAUACAUGCAAGUCGAGCGGAUCUUCAUUAGCUUGCUUUUGAAGAUCAGCGGCGGACGGGUGAGUAACACGUGGGCAACCUGCCUGUAAGACUGGGAUAACUUCGGGAAACCGGAGCUAAUACCGGAUAAUCCUUUCCCUCACAUGAGGGAAAGCUGAAAGACGGCUUCUCGCUGUCACUUACAGAUGGGCCCGCGGCGCAUUAGCUAGUUGGUGAGGUAACGGCUCACCAAGGCAACGAUGCGUAGCCGACCUGAGAGGGUGAUCGGCCACACUGGGACUGAGACACGGCCCAGACUCCUACGGGAGGCAGCAGUAGGGAAUCUUCCGCAAUGGACGAAAGUCUGACGGAGCAACGCCGCGUGAACGAUGAAGGCUUUCGGGUCGUAAAGUUCUGUUGUCAGGGAAGAACAAGUACCGGAGUAACUGCCGGUACCUUGACGGUACCUGACCAGAAAGCCACGGCUAACUACGUGCCAGCAGCCGCGGUAAUACGGAUGUGGCAAGCGUUGUCCGGAAUUAUUGGGGCGUAAAGCGCGCGCAGGCGGUUCCUUAAGUCUGAUGUGAAAGCCCCCGGCUCAACCCGGGGAGGGUCAUUGGAAACUGGGGGAACUUGAGUGCAGAAGAGGAGAGCGGAAUUCCACGUGUAGCGGUGAAAUGCGUAGAGAUGUGGGAGGGAACACCAGUGGCCGAAGCCGGCUCUCUGGUCUGUAACUGACCGCUGAGCGCGAAAGUCGUGGGGGAAGCGAACAGGACUUAGAUACCCUGGGUAGUCCCACGCCGUAAACGAUGAGUGGCUAAGUGUUAGAAGGGAUUUCCGCCCUUAUGCUGCAGCAAACGUCAUUAGGCACUCCGCCUGGGGGAGUACGGGCGGCAAGGUGAAACUCAAAUGAAUGACGGAACCCGCCACGAGCGCUGUAACCAUGUGGAUUUAUUCCGAAGCACCCGGACACUUAACAGGUCCUGGACAUCGUCUGACAUCUAAAAAUAGUCGUGCCUUCAGCGACAGGUCACUGUGGUCACGAGUCUGUCAUCCUGUGCAUCGA
RNAcentral lists this ribosomal RNA (1062 nucleotides) under bacterium. RNAcentral describes it as "bacterial SSU rRNA". It matches the Rfam family "Bacterial small subunit ribosomal RNA", at positions 31 to 1070 of the family's 1533-position model. The record is from RNAcentral.